This 559-nucleotide ribosomal RNA is filed under the name Conoplea aff. elegantula Kurogi s.n. RNAcentral's name for it is "eukaryotic LSU rRNA". The stretch from base 199 to 351 matches the Rfam family "5.8S ribosomal RNA". The record is from RNAcentral. Lineage: Eukaryota; Fungi; Ascomycota; Pezizomycetes; Pezizales; Sarcoscyphaceae.
UAAAAGUCGUAACAAGGUUUCCGUAGGUGAACCUGCGGAAGGAUCAUUAAUGGAAUCAUCAUUUCAUUUCAUUGAUCACACCACUGUGAACUCGUUUACCACGUUGCUUCCGCGGCCCCUCCCCGGGGUCGCGGGAGGUCUACCUGAACUCCGGUUUUAUUGAUGCCCUUUGUCUGAACCUGAUUAUAAUAACGUUAAAACUUUCAACAACGGAUCUCUUGGUUCUCGCAUCGAUGAAGAACGCAGCGAAAUGCGAUAAGUAGUGUGAAUGCAGAAUUCAGUGAAUCAUCGAAUCUUUGAACGCACAUUGCGCCUCCUGGUAUUCCGGGAGGCAUGCCUGUUCGAGCGUCAUCAAGGCUCUCUCAAGCGCUUUUGCGCUUGGUCUUGGGGUCCGGUGCUGGUCCGUCCCGCACCGCCCCGAAAUGCAUUGUGCGGAAUGCCCUCGUGGUCCCGGCGUAGUAACAUUCUCUCGCUCGGCUCUCGCGGAGGCGUUCCUGCCCUCAACCCCCCACAAUCACUUCAGUGCUUGACCUCGAAUCAGGUAGGGAUACCCGCUGAA